GAUGAAGAACGCAGCGAAAUGCGAUACGUAGUGUGAAUUGCAGAAUUCAGUGAAUCAUCGAAUCUUUGAACGCACAUUGCGCCCUUUGGUAUUCCAAAGGGCAUGCCUGUUCGAGCGUCAUUUGUACCUUCAAGCUUUGCUUGGUGUUGGGCGUCUUUUUGUCUCUCCUUUGCGGGAGACUCGCCUUAAAACGAUUGGCAGCCGGCCUACUGGUUUCGGAGCGCAGCACAUUUUUUGCGCUUUGUAUCAGGAGAAAAGGACGGUACUCCAUCAAGACGUUUACAUUUUUCACUUUUGACCUCGGAUCAGGUAGGGAUACCCGCUGAACUUAAGCAUAUCAAUAAGCGGAGGA
Molecule: unclassified non-coding RNA, 352 nt
Filed under: soil metagenome
Description: partial contains 5.8S ribosomal RNA, internal transcribed spacer 2, and large subunit ribosomal RNA
Rfam family: 5.8S ribosomal RNA (bases 1-120)
Source: RNAcentral